Molecule: ribosomal RNA, 253 nt
Filed under: uncultured bacterium
Lineage: Bacteria
Description: partial 16S ribosomal RNA
Rfam family: Bacterial small subunit ribosomal RNA
Source: RNAcentral
UACGUAGGGGGCAAGCGUUGUCCGGAAUUAUUGGGCGUAAAGAGCGCGUAGGCGGUCCGAUAAGUCGGCUGUGAAAGUCAGGGGCUCAACCCUUGAAAGCCGGCCGAUACUGUCGGACUAGAGUCCGGAAGAGGCAAGUGGAAUUCCCGGUGUAGCGGUGAAAUGCGUAGAUAUCUGGAGGAACACCGGUGGCGAAGGCGGCAUCCUGGACCGAUACUGACGCUGAGGAGCGAAAGCCAGGGGAGCAAACGGG